RNAcentral lists this long non-coding RNA (1013 nucleotides) under Homo sapiens (human). RNAcentral describes it as "HSALNT0338740". The record is from RNAcentral. Lineage: Eukaryota; Metazoa; Chordata; Mammalia; Primates; Hominidae.
GUGGGCGGCCCUUCCGGGGGCGUGGGCAGGAUUGCACUCACCAGCGUCUGAGGGAUCCGGAAGCCCCAGAUGUAGCCCCGUCCCCGGGACUUGGCAAGAGGAGGAACGCAGGCACAGACAGCCCCUGGGGGAUGCCAGGAGGGACCCCCCCACUCAGAACCCCACAGCAGGAGCUCAAGAAUGCACUCUGGGGCAGGGUGGCUGGAGGGCCCUGCACUGAAGCCCACGGUGCUGGCUGGUAUUGAUCCCACUCGCCCGUCUCAGCCUCUGGCUCCGGUCCCCUCCCUGCUCUGCCAGAGGUCCCAACAACCACAACCGUCUGUCACCCUCCCAGUGAGGCAGGAGAGCACCUGGCCCUGAGUCCCGUUUGUCCCAUUUGUCCAGUGGAGCAGCCACCGGCCCUGACCUGGACCACGUGCUGGGCGCCUCCUGGCAGCCCGUUCUGCUCCCGAAUGCCCCGGCUUAGUCAGUCUGGGAUGCGGCCCUGGACACCGGGCUUUAUGCAGCUCUGAAGUGAUCCCAGCACACAGCCCGGGUCAAGCUCAGCGCUCGGCAACCAUAGGCACCCAACAACGGGCUGCAGCCAUCAGUAACAACGGCAGCUCCAACGCCCAGAGAACUCACGGAGCAGACACACAUCAGGUACUCCAGGUACACCAGCGAUUCAGGAUCAUCCCCAUGGCAGCCCUCCUUCCUCUGAAGGAUUUUUUCCCACUCUCCUCAGAUGAAGACGCGGAGGCCUGAGCGCUGGGGGUCGCCCGGGGCUGCACAGCGGGUCAGAGGCCAACCCUGGGCGGAGCCAGGCCACACCCUCCCUCAAGGAUUCACAGUCUCCCCAAAGUAACCGCAACGAGGGACCCUCCCGUCACCAAACUUCCUUUCAGUCACUUCCGCUUGUACUAAUUCUGGCCCAACCGUUCAUUAUAUUUUUACAAUUCUUAUCUUGGUGUGUAUUUUUUGACCCUAAAAAUCCUAACUCCAUUCCAUCAAUAUUUUGUAUAUGCAGAUUUCUA